Molecule: ribosomal RNA, 275 nt
Filed under: uncultured bacterium
Lineage: Bacteria
Description: partial 16S ribosomal RNA
Rfam family: Bacterial small subunit ribosomal RNA
Source: RNAcentral
AUACGUAGGGAGCAAACGUUGUCCGGAUUUAUUGGGCGUAAAGGGCUCGUAGGCGGUUCAACAAGUCGGUCGUGAAAGCCCGGGGCUCAACCCCGGGACGCCGGUCGAAACUGUUGUGACUAGAGUUCGGUAGAGGUGAGUGGAAUUCUCGGUGUAGCGGUGGAAUGCGCAGAUAUCGAGAGGAACACCAUUAGCGAAGGCGGCUCACUGGGCCGAUACUGACGCUGAGGAGCGAAAGCGUGGGGAGCAAACAGGAUUAGAUACCCCAGUAGUCC